AUAAUAUUAUGAAUAAAGCAUAUUUUUGAAAUUAAAAAAAAGUUCUUCCAGGACGGGGCUAUCCCAUUGCACUUCGGGUGUGCUGAUGCCUGCGAUUUCCCCAAAUGCGGGAUACUCGACUGCAAAAUUUGUGGUAGUGGGGGACUGUGUCCGUGCUCUCCCCUG
Molecule: small nuclear RNA, 165 nt
Organism: Chiloscyllium plagiosum (whitespotted bambooshark)
Lineage: Eukaryota; Metazoa; Chordata; Chondrichthyes; Orectolobiformes; Hemiscylliidae
Product: U1 spliceosomal RNA
Source: RefSeq, a predicted model, not a curated record